GAAUGACGGAAUUCUCUGUCCCAUCCCCCAAUAUCCUCUUUAUUCUGCUUCGAUUGCUCUCCAUGGUGGCACUCUCGUUCCUUAUUAUCUUGAUGAGGAAACAGGAUGGGGACUUGAGGUCUCAGAGCUUGAGAAUCAGCUGAAAACUGCAAAAUCUAAGGGUAUUAACGUUAGGGCUUUGGCUGUGAUCAAUCCAGGCAACCCAACUGGGCAGGUUCUCGCUGAGGCUAACCAACGAGAAAUUGUGGAAUUCUGCAAGAAAGAAGGCCUUGUUCUUCUGGCGGAUGAAGUGUAUCAGGAAAAUGUUUAUGUGCCUGAGAAGCAGUUCCACUCAUUUAAGAAAGUUGCCCGCUCUAUGGGAUUUGGAGAAAAGGACAUCUCUUUAGUUUCUUUUCAGUCUGUGUCUAAAGGAUUCUAUGGAGAGUGUGGAAAGCGAGGAGGUUACAUGGAGGUUACUGGAUUUAGCCCUGAGAUAAGAGAACAGAUAUACAAAGUGGCAUCUGUCAAUCUGUGUUCCAACAUUUCUGGUCAGAUUCUUGCGAGCCUUGUCAUGAGCCCUCCGAAGGUGGGUGAUGAAUCAUACGAGUCUUUUGCUGCUGAGAAAGAAGGGAUACUUUCAUCCUUGGCAAGACGUGCAAAGACACUAGAAGAUGCAUUCAGUAAUUUGGAGGGAGUAACAUGCAAUAAAGCAGAGGGUGCAAUGUAUCUAUUUCCACGUAUCAACUUACCUGACAAAGCAAUAAAAGCAGCAGAAGAAGCUAAAAUUGCACCAGAUGCAUUUUAUGCUCGGCACCUCCUUAAUGCUACCGGAAUUGUUGUUGUCCCAGGCUCUGGAUUUGGCCAGCGUCCUGGAACGUGGCAUUUUAGGUGCACAAUAUUACCGCAAGAAGAGAAGAUACCAGCUAUUGUAUCUCGUCUUACAGAAUUCCAUAAGCUGUUCAUGGAUGAAUUCCGCGGCUAAGGAAUCAGAGAGUACUUGCUACCUGAACCUAACAACAGAGAAUUUUGAAUAAGCAGUGCCUGUUGACUCCUGCCUGCGUAUGUUUUGUCUGCCUACUUCUGUAGUAGAACUGUUAUGGGGUUUUACUGAAUCUACCUCAAUUUUAUAAUUAUAGUGAAAUGAGUUCAAGUCGAAAUCCCAACGGAAAGUUAAAUAAAUU
This 1160-nucleotide unclassified non-coding RNA is filed under the name Hevea brasiliensis (rubber tree). Lineage: Eukaryota; Viridiplantae; Streptophyta; Magnoliopsida; Malpighiales; Euphorbiaceae. The record is from RNAcentral.